CCGCUUGAUGAGGAUGAGAUCGUCUCACAUAUCCUGGAAGGAUUAGAUGCAGACUACAAUCCUUUUGUUUCGUCCAUCUCCAUGCGUGUAGAUCAAGG
Hordeum vulgare subsp. vulgare (domesticated barley) is the source of this 98-nucleotide non-coding RNA. NCBI's taxonomy places the organism in Eukaryota, Viridiplantae, Streptophyta, Magnoliopsida, Poales, Poaceae. The record is from Rfam.